UUGGAUAAAGAACUGCCUGCAAAAAAAAAAAAAAGGAACAGUCAACUAGCUGUGGCAAUAUAUAGCAUUUAUCUCUUUGUAUAUUCGGCUCACAUCCAAGGAGAUUGAGAUGAGAUGAUCAUGGAGAUUGUUCUUCCAGUGUAAUACAUUGAGCUCUAAAGAGGAGGGAAGUAAUGCUGAAGGCUUGAGAUCCUGCCAUUUAAUAUAACUAUAGAGUAUGCAAAGUAAAAGAAUGUAGAAGGGGAUGUUAGAGAUGAAAUUUGGAAUAAGCCACAAAAUGAUGGUUCUAGUCAACUUUACUUACUGCAAUGACAAGUCUGGAUGACGUUCUGCUACAGUAAAAAGAGAUGGUAAAAUCUGCCCUUUAUCCUCUCACGUGUUGCUUUAAAAACACCAUGUGACAGCGUUGAUUUUGUCAUAAGAAAAGUACAGGAACUCUGAAAAGAACCAGGUCAAAUUAGUUCUUUAUUUGUGUUCAGUGAAAUGUCAGAUUAAUAUAUUAUUUUCUGUGCAACACAACAAUCAGUUUAUUAGUCAUUUACGGUUCCCAAACAAUGUGGCUAAUGAAUGUAACAUCUCAUGGGGAGCAAAAUGCAAAAAACAAGAAGGCCUUACACUUUAGCCUAAAGAGAUAUGAUAAAGAUAAUACAAAAACCCCUAGAUGUCUAUUCACAUGUAAAUUUCAACAUUUCACCAUUCUAAUUAGUUUGCCGCUUGGUUUGACAGAUAUUUAAACAUAUUAAACAUGUAAUUUUAUGUUGGGCAUAGAUGGGAGAUGAUUAUAGAAUGUUGUCUUUACUUGUUUUCUAAGGUUAAAGAAUGUAAUAAAGUUAUUCAGCUGUGGCCCAAAAGUAAAUUAAUAAAACAUACUUAUGUUCUUUUAAUUCUGAAUAUAGCACCGAUGUUCUGACUCCUAACCAUAAUCCCCUGUUCAUCCCGACACGUGAAAUGCUUGUAGAAAGUUGCCCAUAGAGAGUUGUCCGUAGUCAGCUCCCUUCUUCAUCAUGGCUAAUUUGAAGACAAAGAAGGUGUCUGGCUUAGCUAAUGUCACUGUCGACAGUGUCUACCAUUUUCUUGAUGAUGGCCUUGAACAUUGCAGGGCUAUUCAGCAAUAAUGACAUUUCUGGCCCGGCAAGUGAGGAGGAGUGAACGGCAGUGUGUGGAUUCUUCCCUUUAUCCAAACACAUCAUCCUUGUGCUUGCUGUGACCUGACCUCUGCUUGUGACCUGACCCUGCCUACUAAUUUUGUACUAUGCUCCUGGUUUGACCCUUGCUUGUCUUG
This is a long non-coding RNA of Hyla sarda, 1282 nucleotides long. RefSeq lists it as uncharacterized. The record is from RefSeq and is a predicted model, not a curated record. NCBI's taxonomy places the organism in Eukaryota, Metazoa, Chordata, Amphibia, Anura, Hylidae. The transcript is spliced from 3 exons.